CCUACGGGUGGCAGCAGUGGGGAAUAUUGCGCAAUGGGCGAAAGCCUGACGCAGCGACGCCGCGUGAGGGAUGAAGGUCUUCGGAUCGUAAACCUCUGUCAGCAGGGAAGAACGGUCACUGUGCUAAUCAGCAGUGAAUUGACGGUACCUGCAAAGGAAGCACCGGCUAACUCCGUGCCAGCAGCCGCGGUAAUACGGAGGGUGCGAGCGUUAAUCGGAAUUACUGGGCGUAAGGAGCUCGUAGGCGGUAUGUCAAGUCAAGGGUGAAAUCCCAGCGCUGAACGUGGGAACUGCCUUUGAAACGGGCAAACUGGAGUGUGUGAGAGGAUAGUGGAAUGCCAGGUGUAGGAGUGAAAUGCGUAGAUAUCUGGAGGAACAUCAGUGGCGAAGGCGACUAUCUGGCACAUAACUGACGCUGAGGAGCGAAAGCGUGGGUAGCAAACAGGAUUAGAUACCCUUGUAGUC
This 465-nucleotide ribosomal RNA is filed under the name uncultured bacterium. Its description in RNAcentral is "partial 16S ribosomal RNA". It matches the Rfam family "Bacterial small subunit ribosomal RNA", at positions 338 to 795 of the family's 1533-position model. The record is from RNAcentral.